AUGCGCUUUCUCAUAAUGCACGAGAGGGCGACGCCCGGAAGUGUCAGAGAUCGGCGACCGGCAGGGAGACGUCCCGCCCUUCCUCCUCCGGGGAACAUGCCGGCAGGUUACUUCCCCUCCCAUGCAUGCAUCGCCCGCUCCGCCUCCGGUCUCCCAACCACAUAUCAUCCACAGAGGCCUACAUAUAGAAACCACGUAUUAUCCACGAGCAUCCAUGGAGCCUGGACCAACUGA
This 234-nucleotide ribosomal RNA is filed under the name Triticum aestivum (bread wheat). RNAcentral's name for it is "partial small subunit ribosomal RNA". The record is from RNAcentral. Lineage: Eukaryota; Viridiplantae; Streptophyta; Magnoliopsida; Poales; Poaceae.